CCAACCUUAGCUCAGAUGGUAGAGCGGAGGACUGUAGUGUGGGACAGAUUGAUCCUUAGGUCGCUGGUUCGAAUCCGGCAGGUUGGA
This 87-nucleotide transfer RNA is filed under the name Musa acuminata subsp. malaccensis (wild Malaysian banana). It matches the Rfam family "tRNA". Rfam says of the family: Transfer RNA (tRNA) molecules are approximately 80 nucleotides in length. Their secondary structure includes four short double-helical elements and three loops (D, anti-codon, and T loops). The record is from Rfam by way of RNAcentral. Lineage: Eukaryota; Viridiplantae; Streptophyta; Magnoliopsida; Zingiberales; Musaceae.